This 497-nucleotide ribosomal RNA is filed under the name uncultured bacterium. Its description in RNAcentral is "partial 16S ribosomal RNA". It matches the Rfam family "Bacterial small subunit ribosomal RNA", at positions 28 to 507 of the family's 1533-position model. The record is from RNAcentral.
GAUGAACGCUGGCGGCGUGCCUAAUACAUGCAAGUCGAGCGAACAGACGAGGAUCUUGCUCCUCUGACGUUAGCGGCGGACGGGUGAGUAACACGUGGAUCACCUACCUAUAAGACUGGGAUAACUUCGGGAAACCGGAGCUAAUACCGGAUAAUAUAUUGAACCGCAUGGUUCAAUAGUGAAAGACGGUUUUGCUGUCACUUAUAGAUGGAUCCGCGCCGCAUUAGCUAGUUGGUAAGGUAACGGCUUACCAAGGCAACGAUGCGUAGCCGACCUGAGAGGGUGAUCGGCCACACUGGAACUGAGACACGGUCCAGACUCCUACGGGAGGCAGCAGUAGGGAAUCUUCCGCAAUGGGCGAAAGCCUGACGGAGCAACGCCGCGUGAAUGAUGAAGGUCUUCGGAUCGUAAAACUCUGUUAUUAGGGAAGAACAAAUGUGUAAGUAACUAUGCACGUCUUGACGGUACCUAAACAGAAAGCCACGGCUAACUACGUG